Molecule: long non-coding RNA, 818 nt
Filed under: Chinchilla lanigera (long-tailed chinchilla)
Lineage: Eukaryota; Metazoa; Chordata; Mammalia; Rodentia; Chinchillidae
Description: lncRNA (ENSCLAG00000023798.1)
Source: RNAcentral
UACUUUCUGACAUGAUGACAUUCCCUAACCCGCUGUAUUUCCUGUCCACUGCCAGAAUCUGCCACUGCUCCAAGGAGACCCAGAUGUUUGCUAGACAAUGCUACUGCAAACCAAGAUCUGCCUGCAAGCUGUGCUCCUUGUUACUGAGAGGUCUCCUCUUAGACCAAGUGCAAAGAUUUACAAAGUGACCGGAGACUAUUCCUGAGCUCAUUGAUUACUUCCUAAAUGGCUUGGGAUCGUGCUGGAGCAGAUCCCUGCAGCAAAGCUUGAACACAGUGGCUCAAAGAUAACACUCACCUAGAAUUAGAAAAUCAUCAUACAGGAAGCUCCAGGGUGACGGAUUUUACCAACACUGCUGUCUCUAGAGGGCUGAAAACAGAACUGCAGGCAACUUGUAAUCCACAGAGCAUGUUACAUUGCUUCAAUUAUGGAUUUUCAGUGCUUAUUUUUGACCUACUGCAUCUGUUUUGAAACAAGAACUGCUUUGUUCUCAGAGAUUACUACCCUUAAUGAUUUUAAGACACAGAUAAUUAGAAUACGAUGCAUAAAUUGACCAUGAAAGUAUUUAAUAAAAGUGUCACAUUACACAUUAACUUAGAAGAUAAAGCAAUCGUGGGUGACUUUUAGUGGAUUACUUACCACACAUAACAAUUAUUUUCAUUUUUAGUGAUGAUGUUAGAGACUUGCUAAAAUUUUAUAUAAAUAAGAAAAUGACUGCUGUAUUUUAUUUUUGAAUCUGAAAAACAAAAAAAUUCACUAAGAAAAAUAAAUCCCCAAAUUUGGAUGGAAAAAGCUAACAUAAAAUAAAAUUGAAAGUU